Molecule: ribosomal RNA, 253 nt
Filed under: uncultured bacterium
Lineage: Bacteria
Description: partial 16S ribosomal RNA
Rfam family: Bacterial small subunit ribosomal RNA
Source: RNAcentral
GACGAACCGAGCGAACGUUAUUCGGAAUCACUGGGCUUAAAGGGCGCGUAGGCGGGCGGCCAAGUCAGGGGUGAAAGCCCCCAGCUCAACUGGGGAAGUGCCUUUGAUACUGGUCAUCUCGAGGGAGAUAGGGGCGUGCGGAACUUCCGGUGGAGCGGUGAAAUGCGUAGAUAUCGGAAGGAACACCGGUGGCGAAAGCGGCGCGCUGGAUCUCUCCUGACGCUGAGGCGCGAAAGCCAGGGGAGCGAACGGG